GUAGAUUGAUAAAUUCAAAAUUAGAUGUUUUUUAACAAAUGGUAGUUUGAUUUUCACAAUAUGCUGGUAGAGACGCCCAAACUAAAAUUUAGUCAAAAUUAAGAAAAAAUUCACAUGUUUCACCCAUAAGAGCAAAAACUACCAUAAUUUCCUAGCCCUAAGAUCCAGAGUUAAUGGUCCAGAAGAAAAAAUAAAUAAAUACAACAAAGAUAGAACUAAUAUGAAUGACAUAGUAGCACAGGGUUUAAUUUGUGACAUAACUACAUGGUAAUAAGGAAACCAUAUGGAAC
This 290-nucleotide long non-coding RNA is filed under the name Sorghum bicolor (sorghum). RNAcentral describes it as "long non-coding RNA (SBIC_LNC009068)". The record is from RNAcentral. Lineage: Eukaryota; Viridiplantae; Streptophyta; Magnoliopsida; Poales; Poaceae.